UCAGAAGGUCGGCGGUUCGAAUCCCCGCGACGGGGUGAGCUCCCGUUGCUCAGUCCCAGCUCCUGCCAACCUAGCAGUUUGAAAGCACGUCAAAGUGCAAGUAGAUAAGUAGGUACUGCUCCGGCGGGAAGGUAAACGGCGUUUCCGUGUGCUGCUCUGGUUCGCCAGAAGUGGCUUAGUCCUGCUGGCCACAUGACCCGGAAGCUGCAUGCCGGCUCCCUCAGCCAGUAAAGUGAGAUGAGUGUCGCAACCCCAG
RNAcentral lists this long non-coding RNA (256 nucleotides) under Podarcis lilfordi (Lilford's wall lizard). The record is from RNAcentral. Lineage: Eukaryota; Metazoa; Chordata; Lepidosauria; Squamata; Lacertidae.